AGGAACUCAAAUGUACCUUAAUUCAUCUUUCUCAGUAAAAUAUUUUUUCUACUCGGCAUGAAUGUCGAGUUCCAUGAUGCUAAUUUUUCAUACGUUCCCAAUACACUGCCAGAUACCCUGAAAAAUUUACAGCAAAAUCAACAAAGAUUUCACAUUUAGAAAA
This is a long non-coding RNA of Diprion similis, 163 nucleotides long. RefSeq lists it as uncharacterized. The record is from RefSeq and is a predicted model, not a curated record. Lineage: Eukaryota; Metazoa; Arthropoda; Insecta; Hymenoptera; Diprionidae. The transcript is spliced from 3 exons.